GAUGAAGAACGUAGCGAAAUGCGAUAAGUAAUGUGAAUUGCAGAAUUCAGUGAAUCAUCGAAUCUUUGAACGCACAUUGCGCCCGCCAGUAUUCUGGCGGGCAUGCCUGUUCGAGCGUCAUUACAACCCUCAGGCCCCCGGGCCUGGCGUUGGGGAUCGGCGGAGCCCCCCGUGGGCACACGCCGUCCACCAAAUGCAGUGGCGGUCCCGCCGCAGCUUCCAUCGCGUAGUAGCUAACACCUCGCGACUGGAGAGCGGCGCGGCCACGCCGUAAAACACCCAACUCUUCUGAAGUUGACCUCGAAUCAGGUAGGAAUACCCGCUGAACUUAAGCAUAUCAAUAAGCGGAGGA
Molecule: unclassified non-coding RNA, 352 nt
Filed under: soil metagenome
Description: partial contains 5.8S ribosomal RNA, internal transcribed spacer 2, and large subunit ribosomal RNA
Rfam family: 5.8S ribosomal RNA (bases 1-120)
Source: RNAcentral